AAUUUGUCUGUUGGGAGAUAAAAUAUUUAUAUAACUUUCCUGUUAUGUUCAAUCAUCACAGUACUACAGGUUUUUAUUCUUCUUUUUUUUUUUUGUCCUGGCUCUUCUUCAGGAACAUCAUCAUAUCAGGAACAGAAUGAUUCAAUCUGGCUUCAAGGAAAGGAAUUCAGCACUUUUCUCAAGAAAAUGGUGAUUGACAAAAUUAUCCUAAAGGUAGAGAAAUCCUGGAUUCCACUUCAUGUUUGUCUCAUCUGCCAGUGUGGGGAAGAAUCAAGAAAAGAAUUCAAGAGACAAUUUUGACACACACACGUAUCUCUAUGGCAACAUGAAACCUCCCAUAGAUAUGCCUGGAGCCGAAGCAAGGGUUUGGAUUGGGUUUGGGUCAACUCUGAGUCAAGAAGAUAUUAGGUCAUAUGGGAUUCCUGAUUCUUAUUUUAAAAUGUAAUCAAGAC
This 452-nucleotide long non-coding RNA is filed under the name Pan paniscus (pygmy chimpanzee). RNAcentral's name for it is "lncRNA (ENSPPAG00000045352.1)". The record is from RNAcentral. Lineage: Eukaryota; Metazoa; Chordata; Mammalia; Primates; Hominidae.